RNA transcript from Hordeum vulgare subsp. vulgare (domesticated barley), 2358 nucleotides. It is a transcript of the gene named putative methyltransferase At1g22800, mitochondrial, with no coding region annotated. The record is from RefSeq and is a predicted model, not a curated record. The transcript is spliced from 11 exons. Lineage: Eukaryota; Viridiplantae; Streptophyta; Magnoliopsida; Poales; Poaceae.
AAAAGGUCUUCUUCUUAUAACUCAAAAAGGAAGCCCUCCUCUCUCCUCCAACCGCCGGUGCUCGUUCCGUCUCGCCAUGGCUUCCGGAGCCGCGGCCGCCGCACGUCGCCUUCUGCUACUGCGCCACCGCCGCCGCCACCUCGUUCCCAAUCACCACUUCUCUUCCUCUUCCGCGGGCGAAGAGCUGGACGGCGGCCGCGUCAAAAUCUUCGAUCGCGAUCUGAAGUGCCGACACCGGGACCGGGCGGCGUGGGCGAUGCGGGAAACUGAUCCACUGGUAGACGCAGUCGCCGAUAACCUCCUCGACCGCCUCGAGGACUGCAGGAAGGCGUUCCCCUCGGCAUUCUGCCUCGGCGGUUCGGCCGGCGCCGUCCGCCGGUCGCUUCGUGGCCGCGGUGGAAUCGAGAAAUUGACCAUGAUGGACAUGUCGGUAGAUAUGGUGAACAAGUGGCGGGAGUUGGAGAGUGCUACCGACGACGGCCCCGAGAUGCACUUUAUCGUUGGAGAUGAAGAGUAUCUUCCUAUCAAAGAGAACUCCCAGGAUUUGAUAAUGAGCUGUCUUGGGCUUCAUUGGAUAAAUGAUCUACCUGGAGCCAUGAUACAGUGUAGGUUGGCGUUGAAGCCUGAUGGCCUUUUUCUUGCAGCAAUUCUUGGCGGGGAGACUCUGAAGGAACUAAGAAUUGCAUGCACUAUUGCUCAAAUGGAACGUGAGGGAGGCAUCAGUCCUCGAAUGUCGCCACUAGCACAAGUCCGUGAUGCAGGAAACCUUUUGUCAAGGGCAGGCUUCGCCCUUCCAGGAGUUGAUGUAGAUCGAUAUACAGUCAAGUACAACAGUGCUCUGGAACUUGUGGAACAUCUUAGGGCAAUGGCAGAAACAAAUGCUCUCUUUCAAAGAAGCCCUAUAUUAAAGAGAGAUACAGCACUAGCUACUGCAGCCAUUUACCAGUCAAUGUUUGGGUUAGAAGAUGGAACCAUACCAGCAACCUUUCAGGUAAUUUACAUGACUGGGUGGAAGGAGCAUUCAUCACAACAAAAGCCUAAGAGAAGGGGUUCUGCCACUGUAUCAUUUGGUGACAUAAGGAAACAAUUUGGUUCCAACCAAGACUGAAGAACUUUAUCGGAUAUGGUGUUAUUGGGGUGUAUUUUUUCAUGGUUGCAAACAAGAUGUUGCUGGUGUUGGAGCUCACAGAGAAGGGUAUUAUCAUAGUCUACUUACUUUUGAAGGUGCAUUAGAAGAUAGUGGAUGUCCAGAUUCUUUGGCCUAAGAAAGGUGGUGAUAAAAAUUCUGAAGUAUGGUCAACAUUUUCCUUUAAAAUGGAAAGGGAAAAUAAAGAAGAGAACACAUUUGGGUACACUCACCAGUACAGUUUGUUGUACGUUUAUCUUGCUUUGGGGUUGCAGACCCUAAGAUAUCAAGAUAGCUCAUUUAAAUGGUAUAUUAAAUCUCCUGAUGGUAUAACAUGACAUUGGCAGGAAUUAUUGAUGACUACUUUGAUAGGUACUUCUAAGAAAUGAUUGUCUCAGGUACUGUGAUGCUCUUUAAAAAAAAGAUAGUGUGAUGCUCGCAGUUCUAUCGUUUUCAAUGCUUGCAUAAGCCAUUGUGAUACAUCAUUAAAAGACUUUUACAAAGUGUUUACUCGAAUGCAUCUACAACAACGGGUAUGUCUCUGACCUUGUACUUUCAAACAAUUUAUGCUACGAACUGUAGAUCCAUCCCAAGAAUUAGAAAUGAGAACAAAAUUAUGAACUGUAGCCCAGUUGUAUAUUUAUUCAUCACAAAUUCAGUUCUGGAGAUUGUAAUGUAUAUUUUUCCUUCCAUUAAUCAAGGUACAGUUUGCUGGUGCCAUGCAUUUUCUCUUACAGUCAAUUAAUUUAGUUUAUCCUUCUGUUGCAAGAAAAAAUGGUUUACCCUUUUCUUCUUGAUUUCUGUCAUUAUCUCAUUCCACCCCAACGCAUGGUAUAGAUUUUCUUCUUCGAUCAUCUCUGUUGUUCCAAACUCCACGGGCACCUUCAUUCUUGGCAGAUUUUAUAUUUCUCAGGUUGGACGGCACGCAGUCAUACCUGGUCAACAUCCAGUUUUAGAAGAAUGUACAACUACAGGUAACCAUGACGAGUCACCGAUCUUUCGCUCAAUUUUGUUUGGAUGGUGUGUGAUUCCUUUCAAGGAGUCUUCAAAGUCGUUCUAGAAGAUUUUAGGAUGUGCCGAAUUGCGCAUUGUUUCUAGUAGUUUCUGUAAUUUCUGCUUCUGUUGUAUUUGUAGACGUCAGCAACACCAUCUCUGUGUAGCGAGACAGUUCUUAAUGUAACUCUCCUUUUCUAUUUUAAUAAAGAUCAGCCAAGGCGUUUCGAGUGGUCGUC